Molecule: long non-coding RNA, 609 nt
Filed under: Pan troglodytes (chimpanzee)
Lineage: Eukaryota; Metazoa; Chordata; Mammalia; Primates; Hominidae
Description: long non-coding RNA NONPTRT011846
Source: RNAcentral
CCUCACUCCGCCCCUUCCCAAGUCUCUGGGCUCGUCAAAGCUUCCCGAGAGCCAUGGUUGGUCCAGGCAGGCAAUCGGAGCACCUCAUGGAGCGGCUGCUAACCCAGGGUGGGGUGGGGUGGGGUGGAGGGGUCUGUUUGUAGUACUCUCAGUCCUGAUGUCACAGGCGCGGCAAGGACAUCGCAAGGAGGAGUCGGAUUACAGUAAGGAUGGGCAGUGCAGCAGGCAGCCCGAGCGCACUCUCCAGCCGCCGGGGAUCUUAGCCCUGGAAAGGCAGCCUGCAAGGCGCUCAUCCCGCGGAGGAGGCACGCUCUCGGCGCUCACUGCUCUCCACGCCGGGGACAUUUCCACCGAAUGUAGCAUGAAACGGCUCUGCUCUACGUGCCAGCCUUGGGUGAGAGCUGAUGCUGAAGACACCGCGGUGGGAUUCCAGCUGUCUGAUUAAUGAGAAACAUAAUGUAUUUUGGUGGUACAUGCCAGAGUCCUGCUCUCCCGGCCCUUGUCCGUCCACCAGCCCCUCCUUUGCAACCAUCGCUGGAUAUUAAACCAUUUCUUCCCUUUCCUCUUGACACUGCAGCUGCAGUCAACCUCUUCCCCAAUUUCAAUGCG